AGUACUGAGGUAGCGCUCGUCCUCCCGCCGGUCCACCACCACCGAGUGUAGCCCGGGCCCGGCCUAUUUCAUCAGACACAACCCCAGAGCCGGGAGCCACCCCUACCCCGGGAGCCCUUCGCCAAGCACGCAGCUCCAGACCAGAAGCAGUCGCUCCGACCCAGAGCUCCGGGUGAGGCAGAAGAAUCUUUUCUUGCUGCUCUCCUAGGAUCUACCAACCAGAGAUUCUAAUGUGAUACGUUUGGAAUGGAGUUAUCGAUCUGCAUUUUUAAUAGGCAUUCCUCCAGGCUUGGGUCCCAGCUCCAAAAUGUCUCAUUAUCUGUAUUUGAAUAUCCCCAAAUUUGAAAAAUUCAAAAUCUGAAACACUUCUGAUCCCAAGCAUUUCAGACUCCUAAGAGUUAAUACGAAGUAGAAAGAGAAGUUGGAGUUAAGCAGCUCGUUCCAGUUCUGAUUUUGCCAUUUCCUGUCUGAGUGACCUGACUUCCCUCUCUGCCUCCAGCCAUGACUGUAAGUUUCCUGAGGCCCUCACCAGAAGCCGAGCAGAUGUUGGUGCCAUGCUUAUACAGCCUGAAGAACUGUGAGCUGAUUAAAUUUAUUUUCUUUAUAAAUUACCCAGCCUCAGGUGUUUCUUUUGUUUUGAAACAGAGUCUCGUUCUGUCACCCAGGCUGGAGUACAGUGGCGCAAUCUUGGCUCACUGCAACCUCCACCUCCCACAUUCAAGCGAUUCUCCUGUCUCAUACCCCCAAGUAGCUGGGAUUACAGUGUGCACCACCACACCUGGCUAAAUUUUGUAAUUUUAGUAGAGACAGGGUUUUGCUAUGUUGGCCAGGCUGGUCUUAAACUUCUGACCUGAAGUGAUCUGCCUGCCUCAGCCUCCCAAAGUGCUGGGAGUACACGAAUGAUCCACUGUGCCCAGCUAGGUAUUUCUUUACAGCAACGCAAAUGGCCUAACACGAAAAAUUGGUACUGAGGUAUGGGGUGUUGCUAUAACAAUACCUGAAAAUGUGGAAGUGGGUUCAUAACUGGGUAACAGGCAGAGCCUGGAAGAUUUUGAAGGGGUCAUCAGAAGACAG
RNAcentral lists this long non-coding RNA (1074 nucleotides) under Homo sapiens (human). RNAcentral describes it as "non-protein coding lnc-CTAGE1-9:3". Lineage: Eukaryota; Metazoa; Chordata; Mammalia; Primates; Hominidae. The record is from RNAcentral.